Molecule: ribosomal RNA, 379 nt
Filed under: uncultured eukaryote
Lineage: Eukaryota
Description: SSU rRNA
Rfam family: Eukaryotic small subunit ribosomal RNA
Source: RNAcentral
AGCUCCAAUAGCGUAUACUAAAGUUGUUGCAGUUAAAAGCUCGUAGUUGGAUUUCUGCGUCCGGUGGGACCGCCUGGCCACUAGGCCUUGGCGCGACCGCCUGCGCAUCCUGCCGCGAUCGGCGCUACCCUUAGUUGAGUGGCGUCCGGGACCGGCUCGUUUACUUUGAGAAAAUAGAGUGUUCAAAGCAGGCCAUACGCCUUGAAUAAGUUAGCAUGGAAUAAUGAUAAAGGACUUCGGUUCUAUUUUGUUGGUGUUCGGGACUGAAGUAAUGAUUGAUAGGGACAGUUGGGGGCGUCAGUAUUCUGGAGCGAGAGGUGAAAUUCUUAGACCUCCGGAAGACUAACCGCUGCGAAAGCGUUCGCCAAGGAUGUUCCCU